Molecule: ribosomal RNA, 561 nt
Filed under: Rahnella sp. Z3S-43
Lineage: Bacteria; Pseudomonadati; Pseudomonadota; Gammaproteobacteria; Enterobacterales; Yersiniaceae
Description: bacterial SSU rRNA
Rfam family: Bacterial small subunit ribosomal RNA
Source: RNAcentral
CAUGCAAGUCGAGCGGCAGCGGGAAGUAGCUUGCUACUUUGCCGGCGAGCGGCGGACGGGUGAGUAAUGUCUGGGAAACUGCCUGAUGGAGGGGGAUAACUACUGGAAACGGUAGCUAAUACCGCAUGACCUCGCAAGAGCAAAGUGGGGGACCUUCGGGCCUCACGCCAUCGGAUGUGCCCAGAUGGGAUUAGCUAGUAGGUGAGGUAAUGGCUCACCUAGGCGACGAUCCCUAGCUGGUCUGAGAGGAUGACCAGCCACACUGGAACUGAGACACGGUCCAGACUCCUACGGGAGGCAGCAGUGGGGAAUAUUGCACAAUGGGCGCAAGCCUGAUGCAGCCAUGCCGCGUGUGUGAAGAAGGCCUUAGGGUUGUAAAGCACUUUCAGCGAGGAGGAAGGGUUCAGUGUUAAUAGCACUGUGCAUUGACGUUACUCGCAGAAGAAGCACCGGCUAACUCCGUGCCAGCAGCCGCGGUAAUACGGAGGGUGCAAGCGUUAAUCGGAAUUACUGGGCGUAAAGCGCACGCAGGCGGUUUGUUAAGUCAGAUGUGAAAUCCCC